Molecule: long non-coding RNA, 1238 nt
Filed under: Gallus gallus (chicken)
Lineage: Eukaryota; Metazoa; Chordata; Aves; Galliformes; Phasianidae
Description: lncRNA (ENSGALG00010015873.1)
Source: RNAcentral
GGCGGAUGUUUUGUGUUGGAAUAAGCUGUCAGCAAUUUGUGUCAGCCCUGCUGGGGCUGCCUGCAUUUAGGUAGUCGUAUGGGGACAAAGGAAAUCGAGAACUUUUUCUAGGUUACAGCAGUUUUCAAAUCCACCCAAAUACUCUCUCAUGCGGGCUUCUCACCUGCAGCUUUAAGACGUCCAUCAGUCUCAUGGGAUCUCUGGUAAACACCGAGUAGAUUCCCUGGAGUGCUUCAUCAAGAUCAAGUGCAGCAAAAGACUCAGUGCUGUCUCAUUCUCUGCCCAGCCUUGGGCACAGAUUUGAGCAACAUGAGAGCUGCUGUGACCCAUGUCAUCUGGCAGUGGUCCCCAAGAGCUUGUUUACACAGGAUAUUUUUUCACGAGAAUGUAAUUACACCGCUGAAACUACAUGAGCGUGAAAACUUUGCACGUGUAGCAGAGUUAAGCCAGGACUUCUGCGUUAGCCAGGGCUCGAUUCUGCAAGGUGCAGAGCGCAGGUGUGAGGCACUGACUGUCCCUUGUUCCCUGCCAUCAGCGGCCCAGGAGAACAGUCAUUGUCCUUCAGGAAUGCUUGACAUCAUUCGGAAAUGCUGAGCACCUUCCAGGACUGGAACUACUGGGAUGAACAGGGCAGAAACAGGCUCAUGCUUUGCAUUUGGCCCAGGCUAUGCUUUUAAAGGACAUGAGGAAGUUCUUUAUUCUGGACUACGAGCCUGCUCUUGCUUUGACUGAAUGGAGAGAGUACCCACGUUCAGAGGCUUUGACAGGACUCAGCAUCCAACAGCAUCUGAUGGAUCACCUAUUACAGUCUGAAGACUUUAAAUCUGUCCAAGAGUGGUUUCCAAAGCUCAGAAUGAACGAUUUUGUAAUCAGCAACCUGACUUCCAGAGCUGCUUGAUAGUACAAAAUCUCAUUAAAGAUAAAAGACUAAAAGAAAAGUAAGCCUUCCAAACAAUUUUCCAAUUAAAAUUGACUUUUCUGGGGGGAAACAGAACAAACCAACAAAAAACUGGUUAUCUGGAAAGUUGAUACUCUAAUUUCUCAAAUGCAGAAUCCUGAAACACCUGGUAUCACCAACUCCCAGCAAGAAGCAGCAUUACUGAACACUGUGGCAGAAGCCUGGAUUCUAGAAAGAUCAGGGAAAAAGAAGAAACUGCAGUAGAAACAUUUGGCUUGUCACAAUUGUUAUAUGGCACCGUAGCUGCAACUUCGUAAUGUGCAAUAAAACUGACAUGACG